UUGUCAUUAUUAUAAAAAGAUGUUGCCUGGUGACCUGUCAGAAACCCAUUAUACAAAGUCAGCCAAAAUGAUGUUUACACACAUCAGGAAAAGAAAAACUUGCAUAAAUAUUUCGAUACCAAAUUUAUUCAUACAUCACCAGAUUAAUAAAAGUUAUCUUUGGCCUCUACAAUUACAAGAGGUGCUCAAAGUGGUGGCCACUGGCUUCCAGACAUUUCUGUUCUGUUGUAGAUGUCACUUGUUGAUGCUCCAUUCAUGAGGGUAGCGCCAUCUGUUGGGAAAACAUCGUACAACAGGACACAGAGUUAUGGUGAUUUGAUCAAACUUAGAAAGAGGAAUCUAUAUGUAUAGAAGUACUUAUACAAAUGAAAUAUUUAUAAAAGUUUUUCUUUUCCUGAUGUGUGUACAUUAUUUACUCUGAACUUAAUGAGAACAAAACUGUCAUUUAAUUGUUGCUUUGAAAGCUUCUUUAGUGAAAACCAGCUGGUGUUCUGCUUUGAAACAAACUGCUGUUGAGGUCUGUGUUUUUAGGUUUAACCCCACAGUUUCUGAAUGAACUGAUAGUUUGUUUUUUUUCCUGAUCAAUGUGGACGUUAUAAUUGAUGGUAACAUUUACUGAUCAUAUAAUCAGCAUGACAAUAUAACAGUAUAACAUUCUGACCACCUGACUAAUACUGUGUUGGUCCCUUUAUGCUGCUAAAACUCCUCUGACCCAGUGGUUCAUCAGAACCUCUGGGGAUGUCCUGUGGAUUCUGUGGAUCCUGUGGGUUGCAGGGUGGGUCCUACCUAGACCAGGCUGAUCCUGGACCAUCCCACAGAUGCUCCAUCAGAUGUGGAUGUGGGGAGUGUGGAACCCAGAUGUUCAGAGGGAGAUGAUGCCACAUCUGGUCCAGCCGAUGGAAGGUGUUGAAGUUCUCUGACUGGCCUCGACUGAAGAUGGUCCUCUCACUGGAUUUAAGGUUCAGAUGCUCAGUAACAAACUCCACCAAUGAGCCAACAGGGAAGCUUUAGGUUUAUUAAAUGUUGCUAUGAAGGUUUCGUUGUUUUUCUUUGUGAAUGCAAUGUGCUCCAACUGAAACUUGAAUUAGAACUAAGUAAGUAAAUCCUUCCAUCUGAAAGGAUUUAGUUGCAUUAAUAACCUCAUAACAUUCUAAUUUUUAUUUCAGUCUUGGUUGGAAAUAGAAUCUCUGUAUUGAUUCAGGUAAAAACUGAACUUCACAGCAUGUUGGAGCAAAACAACCAGAUGAAAACUGUGAUGGUGUUGGAUUGUCAGACCGUAAUGUUGCAGCUCAAAGCAGCUUUUCUAGCUCAGUUCAUUCUGACAUUCAGCUAUGAAUCAACACAGCAGAUGGUGAUCCAUGCUGUGGAAGUCUCACAUCUCCUGAUUUAAUGGAGAUGCUUUGCACUUUUUACACUGUUUAUUCACCAACACUUUAUUUAAUAAAAGUCCCAUCUAGUUUUUAUGAGGAAUGUGAUGUUUUAAUUUCUCUGUGAAUAACUGCAGUCUAAUGCAACAGCUGGAAUUGUAACAUCUGUCCUCAUAUUGAUCUUGAAGUAUUGAUCAGAAUACUUAUGGUCAGCAGUCAUCCCUGAAGUUUUACAUUAAAAUCUUUACUUGUGUUGUGAACUUUGGUAAGAAGCAGAAACGUUAGCGUUGCCAUGGAUACAUGAGUGUUAAAUUCUGUCCAUGUUUCCAUUUUGGGAAAGUCAGUCCAACAGAUGAGUUUGUUUUUACUGCCAGCUACCAUUCAGUCUGAGAUAUUAAGAAUAAAUAAAUGUGCAUAAUGUGGAAAUGAACAGAUUCUAUUUUUAUUUAUUGCUACAGCUGCUGCAGGUAAAGUUAUAGGAUGUGGAGGAAGUUAGUCUCACAAUCACAGACAGUAAAUAUUAUCUGAAAGUCGGGUUAUUGUUGUUUAUCAGCACAAUACAAAAAGAUUAACGUUAGAAAUAUUCCAGUUAAUACUCUAGAAUAUCAGGAUUUAUGUAAAUUUACCUCAAUAAUAUGAAUGUUCAGGUUAAGAUUGUGCAGUGAUAUUUAUUAUGUAAGUUUAGCUGAUUAAAGUUUAUGACUCUGCACUACAAUAUUAUUUAUUAUUUAAAUUUACAUUAUUAUAAUAUUUAGGGUCAGACCCUACAGUAUUGCGAUUAAGAAAUCAAAUAUUGUAUAAAAUAUAAAUGCACUGAACUCACUUGGAUAUAUUUAAGUGAGACUCUACAAUAUUAUUUGACACAAAUCUAUCUAAAUCAAAAUUUUAAUAAUUUUCACGCCAAACAUUUACUGGACUGAUUUAAAUAUUAAAAUCACUCCUUUCUAAUCCUCUGCUGUACGUUCAAACCUGAAGCCUUAAAUAGAAACACACAAGUAUCUGAUUGAAAGAACUUCUGCAGAGUCCUGGUUCCAGAAUAUGAUGAUAGAAUUAUAGACAAACUUUAACAAAAGCUGCCUGAGAGUUUACAGGUUUUUAUGUUAGAUUUCUUCAGUAAUUUAAUGAGUUAUCAGCAAUAAUCAAGUGUUCAUUUGAUGAACUUCAUUUCCUAAAACAUCCAGAAUUGGAGCUCAUAUCUUUGGCAGCUGUAAAGUUUCUGCUCCUUCAAAGUUCACAACACAAUGAAUGAAUUCCUAAAACACUCUCAAUGCUGGAGAGCGUUUGAUGCUGAAGCAGUGAUCAGUUUUUCUGUUUCUUCUCUGGAGAUGCACAAUGAGGGACGUCUGCAGCGACUGAGAAAGAGUCUCACCACAUCCUGACAUGAGGAAAAAGACUUUAUUGAAGACUGCAAUGAGAAAAACUAUCAGACAGCAGACGGCAUGCAUUCAAGGUGAGCUCUGAACAUUUGAUCUGGAACAGGAAUUCAAUCACAGCAGCAUGAGCUUCAUUUCAGUCUGUAGCUGCUGAAUUCAUGGAUGAAUCAUCUGGCACUAGAGAGGAAGACCAUCAAACAUCCACGUCAGCUGAUGGAGGUCCAAGAGUCUCACCAAACAACCAACCUACAGAGUGAAGACCUCGAAUCUGAUUGGACGGCCUCCUAUUCAGCCACAUGUGAACAAAUGCCUCUAAGCUGAUUUGUUUUCUAAAAUAAAUCUAGUUUGAGUCCUAA
This is a long non-coding RNA of Amphiprion ocellaris (clown anemonefish), 3096 nucleotides long. RefSeq lists it as uncharacterized. NCBI's taxonomy places the organism in Eukaryota, Metazoa, Chordata, Actinopteri, Pomacentridae. The transcript has 2 exons. The record is from RefSeq and is a predicted model, not a curated record.